CAGUCGCCAAGUCCCUUGAGAGCCCAUACUCCCAAGGCGGCACCACGAGGUGGCACCACUCGCCAAGUCCUGCAACUUCGGGAACCUAAGCUUUGAUAUAGGUAUUACAAGAAGAGUCCAACCCAAAAUACGAGUGCGGUGGGAGGACCCAAGGAAACCACUACAUUAUUUUUGGUGUAGGCGACGUGGGAUCAUAACAUGGAACAGUUGGGGGAGUUGGGGAGUCUUUCUAAUUCCACUCUCUUCGAUUCGCUUCCAGAACAGAUUUUUUUGGAGCUCUCUCAAGCCAGGAACCCCUGGUUUCCGCAAGAAGUGAAUCUUGGGAAAAUCAAAGUUGAUUCCCGCUCUGAUUUGAAGAAAUUAUAUACCCAGAAAAGCAAUUGGCUCCAGUUCUGAUUUUAGGAAAUUUUAAACCCAGAAAAGCUGGAGUUUCCUGAUUCGUGUUCGUGGAGGUCAUUCAAACGGAUUUCAAGCUGGGCUGAAGAGGUUUGAUUAAAAAAUUUAUGGAUUUGGGAAAGACAGAUCCAAAAGACAUCCUUAAAGAGUCAAAAUUGCAAAGCAAACAAACCUCCAACAUAAAAAGAGCCUUUUGUUAACCAAUACAGGUCUAUUAAUUCUGGCAAUGCUGCAAAUGGACAGAUCCAAUCAGAGCGCUUUGUUACCCUUUGUUACAUGAUUUCAUGGAUCCAUCUAUAUGCUAUGUACUGAACUGUUAUCCAUCUACUGCCUAUUACUAUGGAGGUAAAACUUAUGGCUGAGAAUUUCUUUUAGGCUAUGAUGGGAUUAGCAACAAGUGGGAUGACUCCUCGAGAUAUGUAAAUCUUGAGGGAGUAGAAAUGACUUCUAGGCUUCCUAGGUUGGUAAAAUGGUUUUACCAAUUCUUCGUCCUUACAGCUAACGAUACUGAGCGAGGAUUACAGAGUCACGUACCUGGGUGAGAAGACUAAGGAAUGAGUUUUGGCUCCUAAGAAUGGCUGCUCUUUUGCUUCGAAUAGUCAGUGCUUCAAUUCUUCUUCGUUUUCUUUUCUUUUGGGAAACAUGUGUUUGAAGUUUGAGUGUUGAGUUUGACAAACAAAUAUAUCAACAACAACAACAAC
This 1097-nucleotide small RNA is filed under the name Malus domestica (apple). RNAcentral's name for it is "sRNA MD08G0078600". The record is from RNAcentral. Lineage: Eukaryota; Viridiplantae; Streptophyta; Magnoliopsida; Rosales; Rosaceae.